AACGAACGCUGGCGGCAUGCCUAACACAUGCAAGUCGAACGAAGCCUUCGGGCUUAGUGGCGCACGGGUGCGUAACGCGUGGGAAUCUGCCCUUGGGUUCGGAAUAACAGUUAGAAAUGACUGCUAAUACCGAAUGAUGUCUUCGGACCAAAGAUUUAUCGCCCAAGGAUGAGCCCGCGUCGGAUUAGCUAGUUGGUGAGGUAAAGGCUCACCAAGGCGACGAUCCGUAGCUGGUCUGAGAGGAUGAUCAGCCACACUGGGACUGAGACACGGCCCAGACUCCUACGGGAGGCAGCAGUGGGGAAUAUUGGACAAUGGGCGAAAGCCUGAUCCAGCAAUGCCGCGUGAGUGAUGAAGGCCCUAGGGUUGUAAAGCUCUUUUGUGCGGGAAGAUAAUGACGGUACCGCAAGAAUAAGCCCCGGCUAACUUCGUGCCAGCAGCCGCGGUAAU
RNAcentral lists this ribosomal RNA (450 nucleotides) under uncultured bacterium. RNAcentral describes it as "bacterial SSU rRNA". It matches the Rfam family "Bacterial small subunit ribosomal RNA", at positions 29 to 524 of the family's 1533-position model. The record is from RNAcentral.